Molecule: transfer RNA, 69 nt
Filed under: Meloimorpha japonica
Lineage: Eukaryota; Metazoa; Arthropoda; Insecta; Orthoptera; Phalangopsidae
Description: tRNA-Met
Rfam family: tRNA
About the family: Transfer RNA (tRNA) molecules are approximately 80 nucleotides in length.
Source: RNAcentral
AAUAAGAUAAGCUAAUAAAGCUAAUGGGUUCAUACCCCGUAUAUGAGAGUAAAAAUCUCUCUCUUUUUA